Molecule: ribosomal RNA, 497 nt
Filed under: uncultured bacterium
Lineage: Bacteria
Description: partial 16S ribosomal RNA
Rfam family: Bacterial small subunit ribosomal RNA
Source: RNAcentral
GAUGAACGCUGGCGGCGUGCCUAAUACAUGCCAGUCGAGCGAACAGACGAGGAGCUUGCUCCUCUGACGUUAGCGGCGGACGGGUGAGUAACACGUGGAUAACCUACCUAUAAGACUGGGAUAACUUCGGGAAACCGGAGCUAAUACCGGAUAACAUGUUGAACCGCGUGGUUCAACAGUGAAAGACGGUCUUGCUGUCACUUAUAGAUGGAUCCGCGCCGCAUUAGCUAGUUGGUAAGGUAACGGGUUACCAAGGCAACGAUGCGUAGCCGACCGGAGAGGGUGAUCGGCCACACUGGAACUGAGACACGGUCCAGACUCCUACGGGAGGCAGCAGUAGGGAAUCUUCCGCAAUGGGCGAAAGCCUGACGGAGCAACGCCGCGUGAGUGAAGAAGGUCUUCGGAUCGUAAAACUCUGUUAUUAGGGAAGAACAAAUGUGUAAGUAACUAUGCACGUCUUGACGGUACCUAAUCAGAAAGCCACGGCUAACUACGUG